This 301-nucleotide ribosomal RNA is filed under the name uncultured bacterium. RNAcentral describes it as "partial 16S ribosomal RNA". It matches the Rfam family "Bacterial small subunit ribosomal RNA", at positions 509 to 807 of the family's 1533-position model. The record is from RNAcentral.
CAGUCGCCGCGGGAAUACGUAGGUGGCAAGCGUUGUCCGGAAUUAUUGGGCGUAAAGGGCUCGCAGGCGGUUUCUUAAGUCUGAUGUGAAAGCCCCCGGCUCAACCGGGGAGGGUCAUUGGAAACUGGGAAACUUGAGUGCAGAAGAGGAGAGUGGAAUUCCACGUGUAGCGGUGAAAUGCGUAGAGAUGUGGAGGAACACCAGUGGCGAAGGCGACUCUCUGGUCUGUAACUGACGCUGAGGCGCGAAAGCGUGGGGAGCAAACAGGAUUAGAUACCCCCGUAGUCCCUGUCUCUUAUAC